CCUACGGGUGGCAGCAGUGGGGAAUAUUGGACAAUGGGCGCAAGCCUGAUCCAGCAAUACCGCGUGUGUGAAGAAGGCCUGAGGGUUGUAAAGCACUUUUAAUAGGGAGGAAUACCUGCAGACUAAUACUUUGCAGACUGACAUUACCUAUAGAAAAAGCACCGGCUAACUCCGUGCCAGCAGCCGCGGUAAUACGGAGGGUGCAAGCGUUAAUCGGAAUUACUGGGCGUAAAGCGUGCGUAGGCGGUGUAUUAAGUCAGAUGUGAAAGCCCCGGGCUCAACCUGGGAAUUGCAUUUGAAACUGGUAGACUAGAGUUGAGUAGAGGGGAGUGGAAUUUCAGGUGUAGCGGUGAAAUGCGUAGAUAUCUGAAGGAACACCAGUGGCGAAGGCGACUCCCUGGACUCAAACUGACGCUGAGGUACGAAAGCGUGGGUAGCAAACAGGAUUAGAUACCCUUGUAGUC
Molecule: ribosomal RNA, 464 nt
Filed under: uncultured bacterium
Lineage: Bacteria
Description: bacterial SSU rRNA
Rfam family: Bacterial small subunit ribosomal RNA
Source: RNAcentral